Ceratotherium simum simum (southern white rhinoceros) is the source of this 115-nucleotide non-coding RNA. NCBI's taxonomy places the organism in Eukaryota, Metazoa, Chordata, Mammalia, Perissodactyla, Rhinocerotidae. The record is from RefSeq and is a predicted model, not a curated record.
UGUAGAACUUUUCCCAGAAUUAAAGAAAUAUGAAAGCCUUCAGAUUGCAAAGGCUCCUAAAGUGUCAAACAGAGAGAAAAGAAAAAGCCUAGACAUAGAGGAGUGUACAUGGAGA